UGGCUCAGACAGUAAAGCAACUGCCUGCAAUGCGGGAGACCCAGGUUCGAUUCCUGG
This 57-nucleotide transfer RNA is filed under the name Ovis aries (sheep). It matches the Rfam family "tRNA", at positions 8 to 63 of the family's 71-position model. From Rfam's summary of the family: Transfer RNA (tRNA) molecules are approximately 80 nucleotides in length. Their secondary structure includes four short double-helical elements and three loops (D, anti-codon, and T loops). Further hydrogen bonds mediate the characteristic L-shaped molecular structure. tRNAs have two regions of fundamental functional importance: the anti-codon, which is responsible for specific mRNA codon recognition, and the 3' end, to which the tRNAs corresponding amino acid is attached (by aminoacyl-tRNA synthetases). tRNAs cope with the degeneracy of the genetic code in two manners: having more than one tRNA (with a specific anti-codon) for a particular amino acid; and 'wobble' base-pairing, i.e. permitting non-standard base-pairing at the 3rd anti-codon position. The record is from Rfam by way of RNAcentral. Lineage: Eukaryota; Metazoa; Chordata; Mammalia; Artiodactyla; Bovidae.